This 389-nucleotide transfer-messenger RNA is filed under the name Candidatus Saccharimonadota bacterium. It matches the Rfam family "transfer-messenger RNA". From Rfam's summary of the family: Bacterial tmRNA, also known as 10Sa RNA or SsrA, is named for its dual tRNA and mRNA-like properties. RNAcentral also lists the same sequence under 1 other name. Lineage: Bacteria; Candidatus Saccharimonadota. The record is from RNAcentral.
GGGGCUGACAUAGCUUUCGACGAUGGGAAUUUAACAGGAUAUUUUGCAAGUCGACUGUACACGUAUACGUACAUUUUUAAUUGCAAACAACAAACUUGCAUUCCUUAAGGAUCUCUUCCCACAGAAGAGCCUUUCGGCUGUUGCUGCCUAAUAGCGCAACCAUUCGAGUUCACUAGGCGACAUAGCGAACUUUGAGUGUUAUAUUUAUGUCGCUCGCUGUAUAUAGGGAAGCGGCCUGUAUGUGGGACUUUUUCCGCGUAACUCGGUGUGAUGUUUCUGGCUAUAUUUUAGUCACAACGAGUUAUAAAACAAUUUAAUAUAGCCUAAGCUUGUAGACGAAUAUCCAUGUUACCUGUCGGACCGGGGGGCAGUACCCCGCAGCUCCACCA